GGCCGCCUGGCGAAAUGGCAUCGCGUCUGACUUCGAAUCAGAAGAUUGCAGGUUCGACCCCUGCGGCGGUCA
RNAcentral lists this transfer RNA (72 nucleotides) under Flammulina velutipes KACC42780. RNAcentral's name for it is "tRNA-Arg (TCG) (tRNA-Arg-TCG-1 1 to 3)". It matches the Rfam family "tRNA". Rfam says of the family: Transfer RNA (tRNA) molecules are approximately 80 nucleotides in length. Their secondary structure includes four short double-helical elements and three loops (D, anti-codon, and T loops). The record is from RNAcentral. Lineage: Eukaryota; Fungi; Basidiomycota; Agaricomycetes; Agaricales; Physalacriaceae.